RNAcentral lists this ribosomal RNA (264 nucleotides) under uncultured bacterium. RNAcentral describes it as "partial 16S ribosomal RNA". It matches the Rfam family "Bacterial small subunit ribosomal RNA", at positions 335 to 596 of the family's 1533-position model. The record is from RNAcentral.
GUCCCUACGGGACGCAGCAGUGAGGAAUAUUGGUCAAUGGCCGGAAGGCUGAACCAGCCAAGUCGCGUGAGGGACGACUGCCCUAUGGGUUGUAAACCUCUUUUAUAAGGGAAGAAUAAAUGCUACGUGUAGCAUGAUGCCUGUACCUUAUGAAUAAGCAUCGGCUAACUCCGUGCCAGCAGCCGCGGUAAUACGGAGGAUGCGAGCGUUAUCCGGAUUUAUUGGGCGUAAAGCGUCCGCAGCCGGUUUAUUAAGUAUAGAAUA